GGAGAAAAAGGCCCCAUGUGAACUGGAGCAGGUGAGUCUGUCCUGUUGACCGAGAGGGCGGGGGUAGCCGGUCGGAGGGGUGCAGGCUGGUCCAGAAAGCAGAGCCCACACCUCGAGUGUCCUGCCGUGUCCCUGUGGACUCGGGGUCCACCAGAGAUGGGGAGGAUGCUCGCCUUGCCGGGAGUUCACAACACCGAGCCCCUGUGAGUCCCCUCUGCCUCUUCUGUGUCCCUGCUGCCCGCCUCUGGUGCCCCCAGCUGAAGGAAGACACCAAGUUCCAGGAAUUCCUGUCAGUUCACCAGAAGCAGACACAGGUGGCCACUUGGGUGCCCUGGACAUUGAGCCCCCAAAAGGGAAUAGCAAGCCGACCAGUGACUACCUGAACUUUGACUCUGAUUCUGGGCAGGAGUGUGAGGAGGAGGCCGCCGAGGAGGAGCUGGGAGGUGAGGCUUGGGCGUUGUACCUUUGCACCUGUGUCUCUCAGCUGCAGCCCUGUGGCCCACCAACACGUGCUGGCAGGCACUGGCUGCCCCUCCCUCAGACACCAGGCCUGGGGCUGUCCACACAUGGCUCGGGAGCUUUCUAGUGGGGGGAUGAGGUCACCUGCAGACAGGUCUGCCAUGACUAGUCCUGGUCACGUGCUUGCCAGUCGGCAGUGUUCACCGAUUGCAUGCUGCAUGCUGGGCUCUGGGGAUGUAGUGCUGAGCCAUAUACAGGAAUCCUGCCCCAUGGCGCUGUCAGCUGUCAUUGUGGUGAGAGGAGAGCAGUAAACAGAUGAGCACCCAGGGACGCGUCAUGAUAUCACAGCCGCUAUGGAGAGGAAGCAGGAGAGCUUGGGAGGGAGCUGCCAGGGAAGGCCUUGCGGGGUGGGUGAGCCUUUGUCCUCUCAGGCUCAGCGUGCUGGGGCAGCUGGUGGCCAGUGACCAGCUGCAGUAUGGGAUGGCAGGUCUGGUUGGGGGUUGGUCAGGCUGGCUGAGGGCAGAGGAUGUGAACGUAGUGUCACCUGUGCACCUGGCAGGGUUUCUGUGCUAAGCUGCAAUCUGGAGGAUUUGUGGGACGAGGUGGG
Molecule: long non-coding RNA, 1066 nt
Filed under: Marmota monax (woodchuck)
Lineage: Eukaryota; Metazoa; Chordata; Mammalia; Rodentia; Sciuridae
Source: RNAcentral